GCGACGAGUUGUAGCCUCGCACAGGGGGAAGAGAGGGGUCCUCCGCUACCA
RNAcentral lists this transfer RNA (51 nucleotides) under Hemiphyllodactylus nahangensis (Nahang slender gecko). Its description in RNAcentral is "partial tRNA-Tyr". The record is from RNAcentral. Lineage: Eukaryota; Metazoa; Chordata; Lepidosauria; Squamata; Gekkonidae.